CACGUAGGGUGCGAGCGUUGUCCGGAAUUAUUGGGCGUAAAGAGCUCGUAGGCGGUGUGUCGCGUCGGCCGUGAAAACCUGCAGCUUAACUGUGGGCUUGCGGUCGAUACGGGCAUCACUGGAGUUCGGCAGGGGAGACUGGAAUUCCUGGUGUAGCGGUGAAAUGCGUAGAGAUCGGCAGGAACACCCAGGGGGAAACCAGUCGACUGGGCAUCUACUGACGCUGAGGUGCGAGAGCGUGGGGAGCGAACCGG
This 254-nucleotide ribosomal RNA is filed under the name uncultured bacterium. RNAcentral's name for it is "partial 16S ribosomal RNA". It matches the Rfam family "Bacterial small subunit ribosomal RNA", at positions 524 to 776 of the family's 1533-position model. The record is from RNAcentral.